This 1213-nucleotide ribosomal RNA is filed under the name Staphylococcus aureus. Its description in RNAcentral is "partial 23S ribosomal RNA". It matches the Rfam family "Bacterial large subunit ribosomal RNA", at positions 1179 to 2393 of the family's 2925-position model. The record is from RNAcentral. Lineage: Bacteria; Bacillati; Bacillota; Bacilli; Caryophanales; Staphylococcaceae.
GGCUAAACAUAUUACCGAAGCUGUGGAUUGUCCUUUGGACAAUGGUAGGAGAGCGUUCUAAGGGCGUUGAAGCAUGAUCGUAAGGACAUGUGGAGCGCUUAGAAGUGAGAAUGCCGGUGUGAGUAGCGAAAGACGGGUGAGAAUCCCGUCCACCGAUUGACUAAGGUUUCCAGAGGAAGGCUCGUCCGCUCUGGGUUAGUCGGGUCCUAAGCUGAGGCCGACAGGCGUAGGCGAUGGAUAACAGGUUGAUAUUCCUGUACCACCUAUAAUCGUUUUAAUCGAUGGGGGGACGCAGUAGGAUAGGCGAAGCGUGCGAUUGGAUUGCACGUCUAAGCAGUAAGGCUGAGUAUUAGGCAAAUCCGGUACUCGUUAAGGCUGAGCUGUGAUGGGGAGAAGACAUUGUGUCUUCGAGUCGUUGAUUUCACACUGCCGAGAAAAGCCUCUAGAUAGAAAAUAGGUGCCCGUACCGCAAACCGACACAGGUAGUCAAGAUGAGAAUUCUAAGGUGAGCGAGCGAACUCUCGUUAAGGAACUCGGCAAAAUGACCCCGUAACUUCGGGAGAAGGGGUGCUCUUUAGGGUUAACGCCCAGAAGAGCCGCAGUGAAUAGGCCCAAGCGACUGUUUAUCAAAAACACAGGUCUCUGCUAAACCGUAAGGUGAUGUAUAGGGGCUGACGCCUGCCCGGUGCUGGAAGGUUAAGAGGAGUGGUUAGCUUCUGCGAAGCUACGAAUCGAAGCCCCAGUAAACGGCGGCCGUAACUAUAACGGUCCUAAGGUAGCGAAAUUCCUUGUCGGGUAAGUUCCGACCCGCACGAAAGGCGUAACGAUUUGGGCACUGUCUCAACGAGAGACUCGGUGAAAUCAUAGUACCUGUGAAGAUGCAGGUUACCCGCGACAGGACGGAAAGACCCCGUGGAGCUUUACUGUAGCCUGAUAUUGAAAUUCGGCACAGCUUGUACAGGAUAGGUAGGAGCCUUUGAAACGUGAGCGCUAGCUUACGUGGAGGCGCUGGUGGGAUACUACCCUAGCUGUGUUGGCUUUCUAACCCGCACCACUUAUCGUGGUGGGAGACAGUGUCAGGCGGGCAGUUUGACUGGGGCGGUCGCCUCCUAAAAGGUAACGGAGGCGCUCAAAGGUUCCCUCAGAAUGGUUGGAAAUCAUUCAUAGAGUGUAAAGGCAUAAGGGAGCUUGACUGCGAGACCUACAAGUCGAG